GAUGAACGCUGGCGGCGUGCCUAAUACAUGCAAGUCGAGCGAACAGACGAGGAGCUUGCUCCUCUGACGUUAGCGGCGGACGGGUGAGUAACACGUGGAUAACCUACCUAUAAGACUGGGAUAACUUCGGGAAACCGGAGCUAAUACCGGAUAAUAUAUUGAACCGCAUGGUUCAAUAGUGAAAGACGGCUUUGCUGUCACUUAUAGAUGGAUCCGCGCCGCAUUAGCUAGUUGGUAAGGUAACGGCUUACCAAGGCCACGAUGCGUAGCCGACCUGAGAGGGUGAUCGGCCACACUGGAACUGAGACACGGUCCAGACUCCUACGGGAGGCAGCAGUAGGGAAUCUUCCGCAAUGGGCGAAAGCCUGACGGAGCAACGCCGCGUGAGUGAUGAAGGUCUUCGGAUCGUAAAACUCUGUUAUUAGGGAAGAACAAAUGUGUAAGUAACUAUGCACGUCUUGACGGUACCUAAUCAGAAAGCCACGGCUAACUACGUG
Molecule: ribosomal RNA, 497 nt
Filed under: uncultured bacterium
Lineage: Bacteria
Description: partial 16S ribosomal RNA
Rfam family: Bacterial small subunit ribosomal RNA
Source: RNAcentral